This 252-nucleotide ribosomal RNA is filed under the name uncultured bacterium. RNAcentral's name for it is "partial 16S ribosomal RNA". It matches the Rfam family "Bacterial small subunit ribosomal RNA", at positions 524 to 776 of the family's 1533-position model. The record is from RNAcentral.
UACGGAGGAUGCGAGCGUUAUCCGGAUUUAUUGGGUUUAAAGGGUGCGCAGGCGGCACGGCAAGCCGGCGGUCAAAUCGCGGGGCUCAACCCCGCCCAGCCGUCGGAACUGCCGGGCUAGAGUGGGCGAGAAGUGCGCGGAAUGCGUGGUGUAGCGGUGAAAUGCAUAGGUAUCACGCAGAACUCCGAUUGCGAAGGCAGCGCACCGGCGCCCUACUGACGCUCAGGCACGAAAGCGUGGGUAUCGAGCAGG